GGACCUGACCGCUAUCGGAUCGAUUCUAAGCCAUGCGAGUCUUCGUAGUAAUACAAGGCAGACGGCUCAGUAACACGUAGUCAAUCUAACCUAUGGACAGGGAUAACCUCGGGAAACUGAGAAUAAUACCUGAUAGAUCAUUAUACCUGGAAUGGUUUAUGGUCGAAAUGAUUUAUCGCCGUAGGAUGGGACUGCGGUCUAUCAGCUUGUUGGUGAGGUAAUGGCCCACCAAGGCUAUAACAGAUACGGGCUCUGAGAGGAGAAGCCCGGAGAUGGGUACUGAGACACGGACCCAGGCCCUAUGGGGCGCAGCAGGCGAGAAAACUUUGCAAUGUGCGAAAGCACGACAAGGUUAAUCCGAGUGUUUUCUGCUAAAGAAAUCUUUUGUCAGUCCUAAAAACACUGAUGAAUAAGGGGUGGGCAAGUUCUGGUGUCAGCC
RNAcentral lists this ribosomal RNA (439 nucleotides) under uncultured archaeon. RNAcentral describes it as "bacterial SSU rRNA". It matches the Rfam family "Archaeal small subunit ribosomal RNA", at positions 19 to 463 of the family's 1478-position model. The record is from RNAcentral.